Molecule: ribosomal RNA, 417 nt
Filed under: uncultured bacterium
Lineage: Bacteria
Description: bacterial SSU rRNA
Rfam family: Bacterial small subunit ribosomal RNA
Source: RNAcentral
GAUGAACGCCGGCGGUGUGCCUAAUACAUGCAAGUCGAACGCGUUGGCCCAACUGAUUGAACGUGCUUGCACGGACUUGACGUUGGUUUACCAACGAGUGGCGGACGGGUGAGUAACACGUAGGUAACCUGCCCCAAAGCGGGGGAUAACAUUUGGAAACAGAUGCUAAUACCGCAUAACAAUUUGAACCGCAUGAUUCAAAUUUAAAAGAUGGCUUCGGCUAUCACUUUGGGAUGGACCUGCGGCGCAUUAGCUUGUUGGUAGGGUAACGGCCUACCAAGGCUGUGAUGCGUAGCCGAGUUGAGAGACUGAUCGGCCACGAUGGAACUGAGACACGGUCCAUACUCCUACGGGAGGCAGCAGUAGGGAAUCUUCCACAAUGGGCGCAAGCCUGAUGGAGCAACACCGCGUGAGUGA